Molecule: ribosomal RNA, 670 nt
Filed under: uncultured bacterium
Lineage: Bacteria
Description: bacterial SSU rRNA
Rfam family: Bacterial small subunit ribosomal RNA
Source: RNAcentral
AGAGUUUGAUCCUGGCUCAGAUUGAACGCUGGCGGCAGGCCUAACACAUGCAAGUCGAACGGUAACAGGAAGCAGCUUGCUGCUUUGCUGACGAGUGGCGGAUGGGUGAGUAAUGUCUGGGAAACUGCCUGAUGGAGGGGGAUAACUACUGGAAACGGUAGCUAAUACCGCAUAACGUCGCAAGACCAAAGAGGGGGACCUUAGGGCCUCUUGCCAUCGGAUGUGCCCAGAUGGGAUUAGCUAGUAGGUGGGGUAACGGCUCACCUAGGCGAUGAUCCCUAGCUGGUCUGAGAGGAUGACCAGCCACACUGGAACUGAGACACGGUCCAGACUCCUACGGGAGGCAGUAGUGGGGAAUAUUGCACAAUGGGCGCAAGCCUGAUGCAGCCAUGCCGCGUGUAUGAAGAAGGCCUUCGGGUUGUAAAGUACUUUCAGCGGGGAGGAAGGGAGUAAAGUUAAUACCUUUGCUCAUUGACGUUACCCGCAGAAGAAGCACCGGCUAUCUCCGUGCCAGCAGCCGCGGGAAUACGGAGGGUGCGAGUGGUAAUUUUAAUUACUGGGCGUAAAGCGCACGCAGGGGGGUUGUUAAGUCAGAUGUGAAAUCCUCGGGCUCAACCUGGGAACUGCUUCUGAUACUGGCAGCUUAAUUUCGUAGAAGGGGGGUAGAAAU